GAAAUGCGAUAAGUAAUGUGAAUUGCAGAAUUCAGUGAAUCAUCGAAUCUUUGAACGCAACUUGCGCCCUUUGGUAUUCCGAAGGGCAUGCCUGUUUGAGUGUCAUGAAAUAUCAAUCCUCAAGGUUUCUUGUUGAUUGGACUUGGGUGUUGCCGUCUGACUCGCCUCAAAUGCGUUAGUAGACCACAAUGUGAAGUUUGGCGUAAUACGUUUCGUCAGGCCAGCAUCGGCGUCCGCUUAUAACCACCAUCUACUGUCUUCAUGACUUUAUCUCUGACCUCAAAUCAGGUAGGACUACCCGCUGAACUUAA
RNAcentral lists this unclassified non-coding RNA (311 nucleotides) under uncultured fungus. RNAcentral's name for it is "sequence contains ITS1". The stretch from base 1 to 105 matches the Rfam family "5.8S ribosomal RNA", at positions 50 to 154 of the family's 154-position model. The record is from RNAcentral. Lineage: Eukaryota; Fungi.